Andrographis paniculata is the source of this 4979-nucleotide RNA transcript. RefSeq lists it as uncharacterized. The record is from RefSeq and is a predicted model, not a curated record. The transcript is spliced from 17 exons. Lineage: Eukaryota; Viridiplantae; Streptophyta; Magnoliopsida; Lamiales; Acanthaceae.
UCCAUUUCAACGCUUUUUGGCGACGCUGACGAAUAAUCUUUAUCUUCAGCAAAAUUGUAAAAAGCCAGACAAACCUAAUCCGGAAUGAUUGUUUGUUUGUACGAGACGCUGACUGAUUUUGACUUCGACGUCUGUAGGUGUCACUGUCAGUGUACUGCUAGGCCGAGAUCGAAGAGAAAAGGACUUCUGUUCGCCAUUAGAGCUGUAGUUUGCUCAUCUUCGUUUCUCUGGGCUUUGAUUUCUCUACUUGAUUAGUUUAUCUGAGAUACUUGCUUGAGUUACCAUGCCUUUCCGAUGUGGGAUGGAUGCGAUUUCCAGUUUCAACUAUUUUCGCCUGAUCUGGUUGUGUCUGAAGGAAUCUGAUUCCGAGUUUGGGAGUUUGGGAUGGAUGCCUUUUGUUUUUAUUCAUUUUAUAAAAUCUGAUUUUAGAGUACUUCCUCGGUUUUUUUAGUUUUGUUUGUUUGUGCUUUGAUUUCAUUCUUGUACCAUACCUUAGCAGAACGGCCCUAACGUUUGAUACUCAUUGGAGAAAAUUUUGUAAGGCAGCUAGUGAAUCUUGAUUUUUUUUUUUGAAUUAGGUUUGAAUUUAGGUUAUGAUACCUUGUUGAUUGGUCGAAGUGUUAAAUGAAUGGAUUUUAGGUGAAUCUAGUAUUUUGUAUUAUAAGGGGUGAAGUGCGUGGAUAGUCAAAAUCCUUAAAUGCGACUUCUAAUUCAAGCCAAUUGCCGAAAGUUCAGCCUUUAGCUAACACGUAUCAGUUGCCACCUGUUGCUGUCAAGGGUUCUGAGGUAUCCAUAUUGUUUACAUGCUAUUCAUUGCAGAGACGACACGCAUAUUUAAUGGAUCGUGUAAUGUAGAUGAUAAUGGUCACCUGAUUUAAUUGUUGGGAAGUUAUUAAGAGUGAGUCGAUAAUUAUGGAAGAGUUACGGAAAAUAUAAAAAGUGUACUAUCCUCUCACACUGACAGUUAAGUUUCAAUGAAGCCAUGUAAUCCACUGGAGUCGGUUGGUGCUCUAGAGUUUUGUUCGCCCACAAUCUUGAGGUGGAUACGUAAUCAAGUAUAUUCUUUGAUACAAUAGAUUGUGCUUGUGAUGAUCUUGCACUAGUUUUCAUAAAUAUUAGCAAAUCAACAAUUAGCAAUGGUUGCUACUAGAUUCCCUACUUUUUUAAUUUAUUCAAUCCAAUGAUUUCUCAUUUGUGCAUCUAAUAUAGCAUCGAUGUAUGGAUGCUUCAUUAAUGGUAUUUUUUUUGUUUAUUAAUGUCUAUAAUUAUCAUGCACACAUGGAAGUGCUUGGCGGUGCAAAGUAAGUGCCUAGUUGCCAACAAUGUCGAAUCUUUACUAAUUUCACCAUAUAGCUUAAUAUUUAGUUAGAAUUGAAAUUAACUCGUCGAACUUUGAAUGCCAAAAAGCUGUCAGUUCCCUGCGAGUUUCCUGUGAAAGGCUGGUGUAUCCGUGGGGAAUCUUGUAGGUCCUUCAUUCCGAUAAAAGGCGGGGUACUCUUAACGAGAUAGCUUCUUCACGUGACUUUAUUCAACCACAACAAAGUUGUGGUAACAUUAAUUUUAGAAUUAGUGCUGCAUCAUCUUCUUUGCAAGGGAUUUCAAAGGUUUUUGGUUCUUAUAAUUAUGAGCCAUCAACCCAUUCAUUCCAUCCCAUGAUACUACACGAAAUAUGUUGUUGAAGGAAAAUAGUUCCAAAAGCUUUCCUAAACAGGGUUUAUCUAUUUGAAGUAGCUCACAAAUUAAGAGAUUGGAUCUGAAGGUUGAUGGAAGGAGCGCACAGAAAGACUUUGAGGCUGCACCUGCUGUGCAUGUGAAAGAACUGCCGGAACCUGCUUGGUCUAAAGACCACUUGAGAAAGGACAACUUCAAACUACUUGUGCAGAAGUCGGUUGAAAAGGUUCUCGCCUUGUUCCAACCUUAUAAUGUUCCUAUUCCCAGCUCAAGUGAGGAAAUUAAAAAGUUUAUUGGCUCAUUUUGGGUGAAACUUGAAAAGCUAGUUGAGGAUCAUAGUAAGAUAUAGCGGGAGCCUUGAGAUUUCUGGGGGACAAGUUUGUACAUAAUCUUUACCUGACCUAAACAGUGCCAAAAAGCUGCCAAUUCCCUACGAGUUUCAUGCAAAAGGCUGGUGUAUCCGUGGGGAAUCCUUUAGGUUCCUUCAUUCGGAUAAAAGGGAGGGUACAAUCAACAAGAUAGGGAUUGGAUCCUAAGGUUGAUGGAUGGAGAGCACAGAAAGACUUCGAGGCUGCACUUAUUGUGCAUGUGAAAGAACUUUUGGAAUCAGCUUGGUCUAAAGGGCAUUUGAGAAAGGACGACUUCAAACUAAUUGUGCAGAAGUCGGUUGAAAAGGUUCUCGCCUCCAUCCAACCUUAUAAUGUUCCUAUUCCUAGCACAAGUGAGGAAAUUAGGAAGUUUAUUUGCUCAUUUCGGGCUAAACUUGAAAAGCUAAUUCAGGCUUAUAUUAAAAUAUACCGGAAGCGUUGAGGUUACUGGCAACAAGCUUGUACAGUAACUGACCCUGUACCAAAAAGUCUCUUGAGAAGGUUACCUUAUAAUGUUCCCAUUCCUAGCUAAAGUGAGGAAAUUGAGGAGUUUAUUUCCUCAUUUUGGGUGAAACUUGAAAUGCCAGUUCAGGAUUAUAUUAAGAUAUGCUGGCCUGCCGGGAGCCUGAAAUUUCUAGGGGACAACUUUGUACAUAAUCUGGUAAUUUUUCUUUAUUGUACAUAAUUAUCGUGCGGACAUGGAAAUACUUGGCAGUGCAAUGUAAGUGCCAACGGCCAAUCUUUUCUAAUUUCACUACGUAGCUUAAGAUUUAGUUAUAAGUGAUAUUAAUCGCACUUGUCUUUUGUGCAUUGGCAAAAACUGCCAAUUCCCUGCGAGUUUCACGCAAAAAGCUGGUGUAUCUGUGGGGGAUCUUGUAGGUUCCUUCGUUCGGAUAAACGGCAUUAUACAAUCAAUGCGAUAGUUUCUUCAAGCGACUCUAUUCAACCACAACAAAGUUGUGGUAAAUUUAAUUUCAGCAUUAGUGAGGUAUCAUCUUCUCCCCGAGGGAUUUUGAAAUUUUAGGUUCUUGUGAUUAUGAGCCAUCAACCCGAUUCAUCCCAGCCCAUGAUAUUACCCGAUAUAUGUUGUUGAAGGAUAAUAGGGAUUGGAUCCGAAGUCAGAUUGAAGGAGAGCACAAAAAGACUUCGAGAUUGCACUUAUUAUGCAUGUGAAAGAACUGCUGGAACCUGCUUAGUCUAAAGGCCAUUUGAGAAAGGACGACUUCAAACUAAUUGUGCAGAAGUCGGUUGGAACAGUUCUCGCCUCGUCCCAACCUUAUAAUGUUCGUAUUCCUAGCUCAAGUGAGGAAAUUAGGAAGUUUAUUUGCUCAUUUCGGGCUAAACUUGAAAAGCUAAUUCUGGUCAGUUGCUUUGCUGAAUGUGGGGGUUAUUUAUUCUUUCUAAAUUACUCUUAUUUCUGAUCAUGCAUAAAGUUAUCGUGCCCACAUAGAAGCGCUUGGCAAUGCAAAGUAAGUACCACCAAUGUCCGAUCUCUGUGCUAAUUUCAUCAUAUAGCUUAAGAUUUAAGUUAAAUUUGAUAUUUAUGUCACUUUGUCUGACUUUGGUGGUGCAAAAAAGCUACCAAUUCCCUGCGAGUUUUACGCAAAAGGCUGGUGUAUCCGUGGGGAAUCUUUUAGGUUCCUUCAUUCUAAUAAACGGCAGUAUACAAUCAAUGCGAUAGAUAAAUAUUAUUUUUCUAUUGAAGCAUUCAACCUAAUCAAAUGUUACGUACUAUAUGUACGGCUUAUUCAAUUCUCAACGGAAGAAAACCAUAUGUUGUUUUUCUGUGGCAGCUUCUUCAAGCUACUCUAUUCAACCACAACAAGUUGUGGUAAAUUUAAUUUCAAGUAUGUUUCUUCUUCCUUUGCAAAUGUUUCUUUAAUUGGAAAAUGUGGCACAAAGGGAAUGCCUAGCAAGAGGACGUAAUAUUUACUAAUUGUAGGAUUGUUGAUAUUUUGAAUUCUGAUCAAGCAUAAAAAAUGGUUCAUGUUUUUGCAGAAUUAGUGAGGUAUCAUUUUCUCCCCCCAGGGAUUUUGAAACUUUUAGGUUCUUGUGAUUAUGAGCCAUCAGCCCGAUUCAUCCCAGCCCUUGAUAUUACCCAAUAUAUGUUGUUGAAGGAUAAUAGGUCCAAAAGCUUUCCUGAACAAGGUUUAUCUAUUAGGAGUGGCUCACAAAUUAAGGCAGGGAUUGGAUCCGAAGUCAGACGGAAUGAGAGCACAGAAAGACUUCGAGACUGCACUUAUCUUGCAUGUGAAAGAACUGCUGGAACCUGCUUGGUCUAAAGGUCAUUUGAGAAAGGACGAUUUCAAAUUAAUUGUGCAGAAGUUGGUUGAAAAGGUUAUCGCCUCGUUCCAACCUCAUAAUAUUCCUAUUCCUAGCUCAACUGAGGAAAUUAGUAAGUUUAUUUGCUCAUUCCGGGCUAAGCUUGAAAAAGCUAAUUCAGGCUUAUAUUAAGAUAUACCGGAAGCGUUGAGGUUGCUAGCAACAAGCUUGUACAGUAACUGACCCUGUACCAAAACCUACAAUCUUGGCUUCUUCUGGAACUUUCAAGAUUUGACUGCUUCACAUUUGAUCUUCUGAUCAUCUUUCUCUAAAGUCUGACUCUCCUGGAUACCUAGAAGGAUGGAAAAUGAAAGUGAAUCGCUUGAUGAAAAAUCUGCGGUCACAUCUGAAGCCAUUAUCUUCGAAUUGGAGCAUUUCAUUUACCUCACGUACACGUGCUUUUAUAUAUGCCAUUUGGGAUCAUGAGUGGAUGCUAUUUGGACAUUCUAGUUUGGCUUAUUGCAAUCCUGUAGCUGUGUGUAUGUAGCUUUCCAGUCCAGUGCAUAUUCGGACCAUUCGGUAAUGCUUUCCUUUUCUUUAUAUUUGUUGCCAUUCAUCCGUACAUAUUUCCUCCAGCAUGGGGGGACAUCAGGCUACCAUAAAUCUAUUGCUGUUACA